This 213-nucleotide ribosomal RNA is filed under the name uncultured bacterium. RNAcentral's name for it is "partial 16S ribosomal RNA". It matches the Rfam family "Bacterial small subunit ribosomal RNA", at positions 121 to 334 of the family's 1533-position model. The record is from RNAcentral.
GGAAUCUGGCCCAAUAGUGGGGGACAACCCGGAGAAAUCCGGGCUAUACCGCAUACGCCCUACGGGGGAAAGAGGGGAUCUCUUCGGAGACCUUUCGCUAUUGGAUGAGCCUGCGUCGGAUUAGCUUGUUGGUAGGGUAACGCCUACCAAGGCGACGAUCCGUAGCUGGUCUGAGAGGACGAUCAGCCACACUGGGACUGAGACACGGCCCAG